CGAAUGCUGACAUGAGUAGCGAUAAAGCGUGUGAAAAGCACGCUCGCCGAAAGCCCAAGGUUUCCUGCGCAACGUUCAUCGGCGCAGGGUGAGUCGGCCCCUAAGGCGAGGCCGAAAGGCGUAGUCGAUGGGAAACGGGUCAAUAUUCCCGUACCGAUCACAGAUGCGAGUGGGGGGACGGAGAAGGUUAGCUCAGCCGGGUGUUGGACGUCCCGGUUUAAGCGUGUAGGCGUGCUGCAUAGGCAAAUCCGUGCGGCUUAGCCAAGGCGUGAUGACGAGGCACUUCGGUGCUGAAGUGAGUGAUACCCUGCUUCCAGGAAAAGCCUCUAAGCUUCAGUCUGUGAUUGACCGUACCGCAAACCGACACAGGUGGGCAGGAUGAAAAUUCUAAGGCGCUUGAGAGAACUCAGGAGAAGGAACUCGGCAAAUUGAUACCGUAACUUCGGGAGAAGGUAUGCCUCGGUAGCGUGAAGCCCCUGCGGGGUGGAGCGUGAUGAGGUCGCAGAGAAUCGGUG
Molecule: ribosomal RNA, 515 nt
Filed under: uncultured bacterium
Lineage: Bacteria
Description: bacterial LSU rRNA
Rfam family: Bacterial large subunit ribosomal RNA
Source: RNAcentral